This is a long non-coding RNA of Anguilla rostrata (American eel), 895 nucleotides long. RefSeq lists it as uncharacterized. The transcript is spliced from 3 exons. The record is from RefSeq and is a predicted model, not a curated record. Lineage: Eukaryota; Metazoa; Chordata; Actinopteri; Anguilliformes; Anguillidae.
GAACUAGGCUGGGCGUGUGUGUCUGCAUGUCUGUGUCUGUCUGAAUGCCUGCUAAAUAAAACACUAUUAAAUGCAGUGAUGUGAUGUUUUAACACUGAAGUCUAAGGUUAGUGAGUGUGCUUCUGUGUAUCUGUCUAACGUACAAUACAGUAAUAUAGACAAUAGUAAUUACUGUCACCAAAGCUAAUGUUCUUUUGUGCCUUUGUGUAUUCGCUGUGAUCACACAGUGUGUGUGUGUGUGUGUGUGUGUGUGUGUGUGCGUGCGUGCGUGUGUGUGUGUGUGUGUGUGUGUGUGUGUGCGUGCGUGUGUGUGUGUGUGGGGGAUGGAGUCAUGUUCUGCAUUAAGUGGAAGAUUGGUUUUAGAUGAAGAUACGCUGGGUAAUAAGAAGCCGUGAAGUCUGAGGUUCAUUAUGUUUCCGUACGCACGCGUGCUGCAUGCAGAGCAGCGGCCUGAUUCGAUUUGGCCCCUCCCCUUUCUCUUCUCCCCCGUUUCUCCCCCCUUCCUCCCGCUCCUCCCUCCCAGAUCCCGGAGGAGCACGAUGUGGAGAGCCAGGUGCGCAAGGAGAGGGAGUGGAGGUUCCUGCGGAACGCACGCGUCCGGAGGCAGAGCCAGCACAUCACUCAGAGAGGCGUGACCCGUCUGGACGACCAGAUCUUCAUCAACCGAAACCCGGGCGUGCCCUCGGUGGUCAAGUUCCACCCCUUUAACCCCUGCAUCGCCGUGGCAGACAAGGACAGCAUCUGCUUCUGGGACUGGGAGAAGUCGGAGAGGCUGGACUACUUCUACAACGGCAACCCGCGCUACACCCGCAUCACGGCCAUGGAGUACCUGAACGGACAUGACUGCUCGCUGCUGCUCACCGCCACCGGUCAGUCCCGCCGUCGCCUAGCGACG